CAUGAUAAAAGGAAGGGACUCUGCAGCUGAAAGAGUUCAGUCAGUUCAGACUCCAUUGUGACUCAGCAAAAGAAGGAAAACUGAAGGCUGAGGCAGAACAGACUGAAGUCCAGAACAUGAGUAUUUGUGGGGAGGAAGAGGAGGACAGACCAGAGACUGCAGGAUCCAGCUGUCUGUCUGUGAAGAGUGACCGGUCCAAAGAUAAACUUCCAGAAGUAACAAACCUGGACCCUCAGACACAAAUGAGAGGUGGUCUGCAGGAGGUUUUAGAUGAACAUAAGAUCAGUCUGAGGAGGAGAUGUG
Long non-coding RNA from Micropterus salmoides (largemouth bass), 303 nucleotides. RefSeq lists it as uncharacterized. NCBI's taxonomy places the organism in Eukaryota, Metazoa, Chordata, Actinopteri, Centrarchiformes, Centrarchidae. The record is from RefSeq and is a predicted model, not a curated record. The transcript is spliced from 3 exons.